AAACAAGCGAUGAAAAGAGCAUAGUAGCAACGUGUUUCCCUGUUUCAGAGAGCUGACGGUCGGUGCGAGUCAGAACACAAACUAGUUGUGAAUUACAUUCUUGGAGCUUACUUUUGCAUAGCAAAAGCGGCAUAGCCGUUAUCGUAAUGAAGAGGCAAGCAAAUGCUUGCAAUUAGGGUGGUACCGCGAUCAAUUCGUCCCUACU
RNAcentral lists this non-coding RNA (205 nucleotides) under Bacillus sp. (in: firmicutes). RNAcentral's name for it is "Bacillus sp. T-box sequence". It matches the Rfam family "T-box leader". From Rfam's summary of the family: Uncharged tRNA acts as the effector for transcription antitermination of genes in the T-box leader family. T-boxes are found upstream of many aminoacyl-tRNA synthetase genes and some amino acid biosynthetic genes usually in Gram-positive bacteria. The anticodon of a specific tRNA base pairs to a specifier sequence within the T-box motif, and the NCCA acceptor tail of the tRNA base pairs to a conserved bulge in the T-box antiterminator hairpin. The record is from RNAcentral. Lineage: Bacteria; Bacillati; Bacillota; Bacilli; Caryophanales; Bacillaceae.